This 57-nucleotide transfer RNA is filed under the name Trichuris sp. LO613. RNAcentral's name for it is "tRNA-Asp". Lineage: Eukaryota; Metazoa; Nematoda; Enoplea; Trichinellida; Trichuridae. The record is from RNAcentral.
AAAGAUUUAGUUUAUCCCCAAAAUAUUAAGUUGUCAACUUAAAGAUUAUUUUCUUUA